RNAcentral lists this ribosomal RNA (566 nucleotides) under uncultured bacterium. RNAcentral's name for it is "bacterial SSU rRNA". It matches the Rfam family "Bacterial small subunit ribosomal RNA", at positions 338 to 916 of the family's 1533-position model. The record is from RNAcentral.
CCUACGGGAGGCAGCAGUGGGGAAUAUUGCACAAUGGGCGAAAGCCUGAUGCAGCGACGCCGCGUGAGGGAUGACGGCCUUCGGGUUGUAAACCUCUUUCAGCAGGGAAGAAGCGAGAGUGACGGUACCUGCAGAAGAAGCGCCGGCUAACUACGUGCCAGCAGCCGCGGUAAUACGUAGGGCGCAAGCGUUGUCCGGAAUUAUUGGGCGUAAAGAGCUCGUAGGCGGCUUGUUGCGUCGGUUGUGAAAGCCCGGGGCUUAACCCCGGGUCUGCAGUCGAUACGGGCAGGCUAGAGUGUGGUAGGGGAGAUCGGAAUUCCUGGUGUAGCGGUGAAAUGCGCAGAUAUCAGGAGGAACACCGGUGGCGAAGGCGGAUCUCUGGGCCAUUACUGACGCUGAGGAGCGAAAGCGUGGGGAGCGAACAGGAUUAGAUACCCUGGUAGUCCACGCCGUAAACGUUGGGAACUAGGUGUUGGCGACAUUCCACGUCGUCGGUGCCGCAGCUAACGCAUUAAGUUCCCCGCCUGGGGAGUCGGCCGCAAGGCUAAAACUUAAGGAAUUGACGG